GGGUUAACGAUAAGGGAGUAACUGGCAGCUUGUCUGCGAUAACGCCACCAACAAGGCAAUAUUCUGGUGUUAUCUUAAUUAGUGAGACUUAUAGGGAUUUU
RNAcentral lists this unclassified non-coding RNA (101 nucleotides) under Latilactobacillus sakei. RNAcentral's name for it is "Lactobacillus sakei yybP-ykoY". Lineage: Bacteria; Bacillati; Bacillota; Bacilli; Lactobacillales; Lactobacillaceae. The record is from RNAcentral.